CAGCCGCCGCGGUAAUACGUAGGGGGCGAGCGUUGUCCGGACUUAUUGGGCGUAAAGCGCGCGCAGGCGGUCCUUUAAGUCUGAUGUGAAAGCCCACGGCUCAACCGUGGAGGGUCAUUGGAAACUGGGGGACUUGAGUGCAGGAGAGGAGAGCGGAAUUCCACGUGUAGCGGUGAAAUGCGUAGAGAUGUGGAGGAACACCAGUGGCGAAGGCGGCUCUCUGGCCUGUAACUGACGCUGAGGCGCGAAAGCGUGGGGAGCAAACAGGAUUAGAUACCCUGGUAGUCCACGCCGUAAACGAUGAGUGCUAAGUGUUAGAGGGGUCACACCCUUUAGUGCUGCAGCUAACGCGAUAAGCACUCCGCCUGGGGAGUACGGCCGCAAGGCUGAAACUUAAAGGAAUUGGCGGG
This 410-nucleotide ribosomal RNA is filed under the name uncultured microorganism. Its description in RNAcentral is "bacterial SSU rRNA". It matches the Rfam family "Bacterial small subunit ribosomal RNA", at positions 509 to 917 of the family's 1533-position model. The record is from RNAcentral.